This 254-nucleotide ribosomal RNA is filed under the name uncultured bacterium. Its description in RNAcentral is "partial 16S ribosomal RNA". It matches the Rfam family "Bacterial small subunit ribosomal RNA", at positions 524 to 776 of the family's 1533-position model. The record is from RNAcentral.
UACGAAGGGGGCUAGCGUUGUUCGGAAUUACUGGGCGUAAAGCGCGCGUAGGCGGUUUUGCAAGCCAGAGGUGAAAUGCCUGAGCUCAACUUAGGAAUUGCCUUUGGGACUGCGAGGCUUUGAGGACUGGAGAGGUGAGUGGAAUUCCCAGUGUAGAGGUGAAAUUCGUAGAUAUUGGGAAGAACACCGGUGGCGAAGGCGGCUCACUGGCCCGAUACUGACGCUGAGGCACGAAAGCGUGGGGAGCAAACAGG